AUAAUUUUUUUUUUUUUUAAAUAAGGCAAAAGUUGCUGAUUUUGUUUGUGGGAAUGGAUUCAUCUUUCUAUUGUGGACGAGACACAAGUAUAGUGGAGAAUCAGAGUGCACAAUUGAAAUCCACAUGUGAAUCCACAUCAACGCUUGUUUCUUAUAUUUAUAGGCAUAUGUGCUCAAUCAGGAUUUUUUUUUUUUUCCCUUUAUUGGGUUUAGAAUUCACAAAUUUUGUUGUAUUUACCGCCAAUUAAUUAACUUUAUCUUUG
RNAcentral lists this unclassified non-coding RNA (263 nucleotides) under Hevea brasiliensis (rubber tree). Lineage: Eukaryota; Viridiplantae; Streptophyta; Magnoliopsida; Malpighiales; Euphorbiaceae. The record is from RNAcentral.